Non-coding RNA from Punica granatum (pomegranate), 1488 nucleotides. The record is from RefSeq and is a predicted model, not a curated record. Lineage: Eukaryota; Viridiplantae; Streptophyta; Magnoliopsida; Myrtales; Lythraceae.
UUCUCUUCAUUUACGUAUCGAUCCUCUCACUCUCCAUUUCUCCGAUUCUUCUUCGUCUCCUUCCUCUGCUCCCCCCUUCUUUUGCCUGCGCCCUGCACGGCUGCCCCCACUUCUAUCUCUGUCUCUCUCUCUCUCACAUCAUGAGCAGCAGCUCAGAGGGUUCACUUGAGAAGCCUUAGUGGAGCAGCUUUAGCGGAGAGGGACUUCCUGGUUGCGAUGUGAAGGUGUUGCUAUAAGUUCAGGUCGCAGGAUAAGAUACAGUUAUUGCGUAACUUUAUCUUCGUCUGCCGUUGCAGUUGACCGGAUAUUUGCAAAGGCGUUAUUAGCUUGCCGACUCGUCGCUUUUGGUCUGCUCCGUGGCUGAUACCGUCUUUGUGCGAUGCCUUACUAUAUACAGAGGUUGUAUAACACCUGCAGAGCGUCGUUUUCGACGAAUGGACCUGUCUCGGAUGAAGCUCUUGAGAAAGUCCGCACCAUGCUAGACAGAAUCAAGCCCUCUGAUGUAGGCCUUGAGCAGGAGGCGCAAUUGGUACGUGCAUGGUCUGGACCUAUACAUGAACGAAAUGGAAGCCGUCAGUCACUUCCACUUAUCAAGUACUUGCAUCUACAUGAGUGCGACAGCUUCUCUAUUGGAAUAUUCUGCAUGCCACCUUCAUCUAUCAUACCUCUUCACAAUCAUCCUGGAAUGACCGUGCUGAGCAAGCUUGUUUAUGGGUCCAUGCAUGUAAAAUCAUACGAUUGGGUUGACGGAUUUGCACCCAAUGAUCAAUUGCAAGCUAGACCAGCAAAGCUUGUUAAAGAUACUGACAUGGUAGCACCCUGUCCCACAACAACUCUUUAUCCCACAACUGGAGGCAACAUUCAUUGUUUUAGAGCAAUAACUCCUUGUGCUAUCUUCGAUAUCCUCUCCCCACCAUAUUCAUCAGAGCAUGGGAGACACUGCACUUACUUCCGGAGGUCACCCCGAAGGGAUCUACCCGGUGAACUAGAAUUGGAUGGGGAGACAGUUUCAAACAUUACUUGGUUAGAAGAGUUCCAACCCCCCGAUAACUUUGUGAUUCGGAGAGGGAAGACCGAAAUUCAAGGUGACAUGUUUCCAUGGGGCUGCUAAUGUUGAUGGCCUGGCAAUAAUCAUGUCUCGGCUAUAUAUCGAGGUUUUAGGCAUUUGGGUUUGUACAUAAUAAGUUACACAGAUUUGGUUCCGAUAUUACUGACACCAACCACUCUUUUUUAAGUAGCAAGAUGAGAUUAGGCAAAUUGAAAGUUGGAGACAGUGUAAACACCAACGCCUCUUGGAUGACGAUGUAAACAGAAUCGAGAAGAUGGUGAUGCAGGCCACACUAUUCAGUUCGAGAGGCUCUUCCUGUUUGGAGACUCUGAAAUACCAGGAAAAUUGAUUUCAUACUCAUUGCUGUUCAGUAAUGCGAAACUGCAAACAUGGAAGUUACCGGAUGUUAACUUCAAUCGAUUCAGAAUUCCUGUUGUUUA